ACUUCACGAGGUGGUGCAAAAAAAUCCCGCAAUAGUUACGAGUUAAAUUGAAUUGGUUUAUUAACAAGCAGUGAAUUAUCGCUAGUUUGUAAAUAUUUACAGUUGUCGCAUAUUUGUAUAUUUGCAUAUCAGGAAGCGUUAGGACUUCAACCCGCGCAGUUUACAAGUUGGUGGAUUCCGCAAUAUAUAAUCAUUUUAUUAAUUCUCGUAGAUUAUAUUCUCUCUAUGGAACAACGGUUCUACAGUGUUACGGCGAAAGAAAUCCGGAAGCUGGCGUACGAUUUGGCCGAAAGAUGGCAUUUCUCACACUUUCAAUAGCCAAAAGCAAUUAGCCGGAAUGGAUUAGUUGGCUGGUUUUGGAGAGCGCCAUCCACAACUCUCACUUUGGACACCAAAAGCAAUCUCCGCCACCAGGGCACAAGGAUUCAAUCGCGUUGCAGUCGGGAAAUUCUACGAUUUACUGGAGGACGUACAGCAGAAAUACGACAUUCCACCAGUAAGGCAAUUCAACGUGGAUGAGACAUCAGUGAUUCCAGUACAGACCAGAAAUUCCAAAAUUCUAACAAUGCGGGAAAAAAGGCAGAAAAGCGCUAUAACUUCAGCUGAGCGCUGAGCACGGAAUAACGAUCAUAGAAUAAACUUUCGUUAUAUGAACUUGUUACGUUAUUUCCCAGCGAAAACAUGCUUAAAUGAUUGAAUCAACCAGCAUGGUCAUAUUGCCCCGCAUGGUGGCCCAUUUUGCCCCGUAGUGCUCUCGAUCGACGAAAAUGGAAUACAUUUUUAAAAGUGUAAAUUUUCAUCAUGAAUCUUUUCUAAAGCAUUUUCAUACAAUGUACAUCGAUCAAUAAGGUUUCAAAUCGUGAGGUUUUAACAUGUAGCAUAAUUUAUAAAUGUUCAUGCAUGAUUCAGGAUGUUUCGUUCUUAGGGGGACCAUAUUGCCCCUAUCUACCCUACAUGUAUUUUAAGGCGUUAUUGGUAUUUAUUUAAUGAAAAAGGUAUAUUAUCAUAUUCCCGCGUACACUUCGCGGUGAAAACGAGAUGAACGACAUGACAUUGAACUUCGUUUUACGAGUUAAUGAGCGUCAAAGAUAAUAAUGAAUUUUCAAGCAAAAUAAACAUUUUUCAUACAAAAAUUAUGAAUGAAAAUUUCUUUCUGCAAAUCAAAUUAUAGUUCAAUGUAAAUGAAAAACUUUGUUUUUUUAUGUGGUAAAAUAAUUUCUUACAAUAAUUGUAUCUGAAGAUAAUUUUGUGUUAUAACAAUAAGAUAUAGUGGAACGCAAAUUAGUGUUCAGAUUAGGAUUGGGCGAUCUUUAUAAAAAGAUCGAUCUUAUCGAAUCGAUUUUCCAA
Molecule: long non-coding RNA, 1347 nt
Organism: Toxorhynchites rutilus septentrionalis
Lineage: Eukaryota; Metazoa; Arthropoda; Insecta; Diptera; Culicidae
Exons: 4
Source: RefSeq, a predicted model, not a curated record